GCCCCCCGAAUUGUAGUCUAGAAAGGCGCCAUCGGCCGCGUUCGUCGCUCAAAUCCCUUGGAACAGGGUAUCGGAGAAGGUGAGAAUCCUGUACCGUGGCGUCUCGCGGCCGCACGAUGCGUUCUUGCAGAGUCGGGUUGCUUGGGAUUGCAGCUUGAAUUGGGUGGUAAAUUCCAUCUAAAGCUAAAUAUUGGCUCAAGACCGAUAGCGAACAAGUACCGUGAGGGAAAGAUGCAAAGAACUUUGAAAAGAGAGUUAAAGAGUGCUUGAAAUCGGCAAGAGGAAACCCGUAUGCGCCUGGUUUCGCGCUGCCGACUCAGCCGUCUCGAAGCGGUGCACUUUGGCAGUGCGGGUCAGCCGCGACUUUGUGGGCGACAGAUCAGCCCGGUAGGCCUUCGGGGAGCCGUGUGAACGUCGCGCGCGAGGUCUCGGCUGACAGAACGGUCGCAUCCGACCCGUCUAGAAACACGGACCAAGGAGUCUGACACGGACGCGAGUACCCGGGUGGCAAGCCCGCGUGCGCAAUGAAAGUAAAGGGCGUGCCCCGCCAACCGACCUAGAUCUUCUGUGAAGGGUUUGAGUAGAGCGUCACUGUCGGGACCCGAAAGAUGGUGAACUAUGCCUGAGGAGGUUGAAGUCUGCCGAAAGGCAGAUGGAGGACCGUAGCGAUACUGACGUGCAAAUCGUUCGUCGAACUUGGGUAUAGGGGCGAAAGACUAAUCGAACCAUCUAGUAGCUGGUUCCCUCCGAAGUUUCCCUCAGGAUAGCUUGAAUGCAAGGGUUAUGU
RNAcentral lists this ribosomal RNA (787 nucleotides) under Haptophyta environmental samples. RNAcentral describes it as "eukaryotic LSU rRNA". It matches the Rfam family "Eukaryotic large subunit ribosomal RNA", at positions 133 to 1006 of the family's 3401-position model. The record is from RNAcentral. Lineage: Eukaryota; Haptophyta.